CCUACGGGGGGCAGCAGUGAGGAAUAUUGGUCAAUGGGCGAGAGCCUGAACCAGCCAAGUCGCGUGAGGGAGUACUGCCCUAUGGGUUGUAAACCUCUUUUGUCGGGGAGCAAAAGCCGGACGUGUCCGGCUGUGAGAGUACCCGAAGAAAAAGCAUCGGCUAACUCCGUGCCAGCAGCCGCGGUAAUACGGAGGAUGCGAGCGUUAUCCGGAUUUAUUGGGGUGAAAGGGUGCGCAGGCGGAUUUUUAAGUCAGCGGUCAAAUCGUGGGGCUCAACCCCAUCCAGCCGUUGAAACUGGGGAUCUAGAGUGUGCGAGAGGUAUGCGGAAUGCGUGGUGUAGCGGUGAAAUGCAUAGAUAUCACGCAGAACCCCGAUUGCGAAGGCAGCAUACCGGUGCACAACUGACGCUCAGGCACGAAAGCGUGGGUAUCGAACAGGAUUAGAUACCCGGGUAGUC
This 458-nucleotide ribosomal RNA is filed under the name uncultured bacterium. RNAcentral's name for it is "partial 16S ribosomal RNA". It matches the Rfam family "Bacterial small subunit ribosomal RNA", at positions 338 to 795 of the family's 1533-position model. The record is from RNAcentral.